RNAcentral lists this ribosomal RNA (197 nucleotides) under uncultured bacterium. RNAcentral describes it as "partial 16S ribosomal RNA". It matches the Rfam family "Bacterial small subunit ribosomal RNA", at positions 328 to 539 of the family's 1533-position model. The record is from RNAcentral.
ACGCUCGACACCUACGGGAGGCAGCAGUGGGGAAUAUUGCACAAUGGGCGAAAGCCUGAUGCAGCAACGCCGCGUGAGCGAAGAAGGCCUUCGGUCGUAAAGCUCUGUCCUCAAGGAAGGUAAUGACGGUACUUGAGGAGGAAGUCCCGGCUAACUACGUGCUAGCAGCCGCGGUAAUCUGAGCGGGCUGGCAAGGC